RNAcentral lists this ribosomal RNA (254 nucleotides) under uncultured bacterium. RNAcentral's name for it is "partial 16S ribosomal RNA". It matches the Rfam family "Bacterial small subunit ribosomal RNA", at positions 524 to 776 of the family's 1533-position model. The record is from RNAcentral.
UACGUAGGGUGCAAGCGUUGUCCGGAAUUAUUGGGCGUAAAGAGCUCGUAGGCGGUUCGGUAAGUCGGGUGUGAAAACCUCCAGGCUCAACCUGGAGAGGCCACCUGAUACUGCUGUGACUCGAGUCCGGUAGGGGAGCGUGGAAUUCCUGGUGUAGCGGUGAAAUGCGCAGAUAAUCAGGAGGAACACCAGCGGCGAAGGCAGCACUCUGGGACGUGACUGACGCUGAGACGCGAAACGUGGGAGCAAACAGG